Molecule: ribosomal RNA, 736 nt
Filed under: uncultured bacterium
Lineage: Bacteria
Description: bacterial SSU rRNA
Rfam family: Bacterial small subunit ribosomal RNA
Source: RNAcentral
AGAGUUUGAUCAUGGCUCAGAAUGAACGCUGGCGGCGUGCUUAACACAUGCAAGUCGAACGAGAAACCCCGGCUUGCCGGGGGAGUAAAGUGGCGCACGGGUGAGUAACGCGUGGGUAAUCUACCCUCGAAUUGGGGAUAACCCGCCGAAAGGCGGGCUAAUACCGGAUAAGACCACGGUGGCUUCGGCCACUGAGGUCAAAGAUGGCCUCUGCCUGCAAGCUGUCGUUUGAGGAUGAGCCCGCGUCCCAUUAGCUAGUUGGUGGGGUAAAAGCCUACCAAGGCGACGAUGGGUAGCUGGUCUGAGAGGAUGGCCAGCCACACUGGAACUGACACACGGUCCAGACUCCUACGGGAGGCAGCAGUGAGGAAUUUUGCGCAAUGGGGGAAACCCUGACGCAGCAACGCCGCGUGAGUGAUGAAGGCCUUCGGGUUGUAAAGCUCUGUCGAGUGGGAAGAAUUUUUUUCGGCUGAAUAAUCCGAGAAAUUGACGGUACCGCUGAAGGAAGCACCGGCUAACUCCGUGCCAGCAGCCGCGGUAAUACGGAGGGUGCAAGCGUUAUUCGGAUUUAUUGGGCGUAAAGGGCGUGUAGGCGGUUUGAAAAGUCAGGUGUGAAAGCCCUUGGCUUAACCAAGGAAGUGCAUUUGAAACUUUCAGACUUGAGUACGGAGGGGGAAGUGGAAUUCCUGGUGUAGAGGUGAAAUUCCCAGAUAUCAGGAGGAAUACCGGUGGCGAA